This 256-nucleotide ribosomal RNA is filed under the name uncultured bacterium. Its description in RNAcentral is "partial 16S ribosomal RNA". It matches the Rfam family "Bacterial small subunit ribosomal RNA", at positions 98 to 354 of the family's 1533-position model. The record is from RNAcentral.
CGGGACGGGUGAGUAACGCGUGAGGAACCUGCCUCAGAGUGGGGGAUAACACACCGAAAGGUGUGCUAAUACCGCAUAACAUAUGGGAGGGGCAUCCCUUUCAUAUCAAAGAUUUAUUGCUCUGAGAUGGCCUCGCGUCCAAUUAGCUAGUUGGCGGGGUAACGGCCCACCAAGGCGACGAUUGGUAGCCGGACUGAGAGGUUGAACGGCCACAUUGGGACUGAGACACGGCCCAGACUCCUACGGGAGGCAGCAG